This 460-nucleotide ribosomal RNA is filed under the name uncultured bacterium. RNAcentral's name for it is "partial 16S ribosomal RNA". It matches the Rfam family "Bacterial small subunit ribosomal RNA", at positions 338 to 795 of the family's 1533-position model. The record is from RNAcentral.
CCUACGGGAGGCAGCAGUGAGGAAUAUUGGUCAAUGGACGAGAGUCUGAACCAGCCAAGUAGCGUGAAGGAUGACUGCCCUAUGGGUUGUAAACUUCUUUUAUAUGGGAAUAAAAUGUUCCACGUGUGGGAUUUUGUCUGUACCAUAUGACUCAGGAUCGGCUAACUCCGUGCCAGCAGCCGCGGUAAUACGGAGGAUCCGAGCGUUAUCCGGGUUUAUUGGGUUUAAAGGGAGCGUAGGUGGAUUGUAAAGUCAGUUGUGAAAGUUUGCGGCUCAACCGUAAAAUUGCAGUUGAAACUGGCAGUCUUGAGUACAGUAGAGGUGGGCGGAAUUCGUGGUGUAGCGGUGAAAUGCUUAGAUAUCACGAAGAACUCCGAUUGCGAAGGCAGUUCACUGGACUGCAACUGACACUGAGGCUCGAAAGUGUGGGUAUCAAACAGGAUUAGAUACCCUUGUAGUC